AAACUUGGAUGCAUAAGUGGGUCGAAAAUGACUCGGUGAAGUUGUUUUCUUUAAAUACCUUUGUAAUGAAUAAUUGUUAUCAUUUGAUAUUCCAGCUUCCAUAAGUGGGUCAAAAAUGACGCACAUGCACUUUCUAUGGAAUCAAAUGGGAACGAUGGAGAUUGGGAACCUUUGAUCCUUAUCAACUUUGGCUGUCAGGAAUGAAUUAACUGUGGACCACACAGACAAGGAAUAUCAGAAGUGUCACCCCUCAGGAGGAUAUUUUACGUAUACACAGAUGAAAUCGUCCUACAGAUGCUGGAUGAUGGAGAAGGGUUGGACUCAGAGUCCGAAAUUUCUAAUGAUGAGGGCCCAGACUAUUGUCCAUGUGGCAGUGGCAGUCAUCCACCUCGAAAUCCAACCGAACAGGAUCAAUCUGACUCACAAGAUUUGACUUAUGCGUCCCCAGAAGAAGAAAGUUUCCAAAUCAUGGCCGAGAUAAUGAGUUGGUAGGGCUCUUACUGGAGCAAGUUACCUCCCACUCAGGGCAGAACACAGAGUCACAAUAUCCUCAGAAGUUUGUCAGGGCCAGCUCAAGAGCUUAGCAUCAAUAUCUAACCAAAAAGAUGCAUGUAUGCAUGCGAAGAUGCUCUUCAUCCCUGAUGGUAUAAUACAAGAGGGGAUGAAGUCUAUUGCUUUUCGUGUAAUUUUCUUCUUCAAAAGUGUUAAAAAGUGAAAA
Molecule: long non-coding RNA, 718 nt
Organism: Corythoichthys intestinalis (scribbled pipefish)
Lineage: Eukaryota; Metazoa; Chordata; Actinopteri; Syngnathiformes; Syngnathidae
Exons: 3
Source: RefSeq, a predicted model, not a curated record